UACGUAGGGAGCAAGCGUUGUCCGGAAUCAUUGGGCGUAAAGCGCGCGUAGGCGGCCUCGUAAGUCCGCUGUGAAAGUCAAAGGCUCAACCUUUGAAUGCCGGUGGAUACUGCGAGGCUAGAGUCCGGAAGAGGCGAGUGGAAUUCCUGGUGUAGCGGUGGAAUGCGCAGAUAUCAGGAGGAACACCAACGGCGAAGGCAGCUCGCUGGGACGGUACUGACGCUAAGGCGCGAAAGCGUGGGGAGCGAACAGG
RNAcentral lists this ribosomal RNA (253 nucleotides) under uncultured bacterium. RNAcentral's name for it is "partial 16S ribosomal RNA". It matches the Rfam family "Bacterial small subunit ribosomal RNA", at positions 524 to 776 of the family's 1533-position model. The record is from RNAcentral.